GACGGGGACCCGCACAAGCGGUGGAUGAUGUGGAUUAAUCGAUGCAACGCGAAGAACCUUACCUACCUUGACAUGUCCGGAACUUGCCAGAGAUGGCUUGGUGCCCGAAAGGGAAUCGGAACACAGGUGCUGCAUGGCUGUCGUCAGCUCGUGUCGUGAGAUGUUGGGUUAAGUCCCGCAACGAGCGCAACCCUUAUCAUUAGUUGCUACGCAAGGGCACUCUAAUGAGACUGCCGGUGACAAACCGGAGGAAGGUGGGGAUGACGUCAAGUCCUCAUGGCCCUUAUGGGUAGGGCUUCACACGUCAUACAAUGGUCGGUACAGAGGGUUGCCAAGCCGCGAGGCGGAGCCAAUCCCACAAAGCCGAUCGUAGUCCGGAUUGUUCUCUGCAACUCGAGAGCAUGAAGUCGGAAUCGCUAGUAAUCGUGGAUCAGCAUGCCACGGUGAAUACGUUCCCGGGCCUU
Molecule: ribosomal RNA, 464 nt
Filed under: uncultured Thiobacillus sp.
Lineage: Bacteria; Pseudomonadati; Pseudomonadota; Betaproteobacteria; Nitrosomonadales; Thiobacillaceae
Description: bacterial SSU rRNA
Rfam family: Bacterial small subunit ribosomal RNA
Source: RNAcentral